RNAcentral lists this ribosomal RNA (1539 nucleotides) under Triticum aestivum (bread wheat). RNAcentral's name for it is "partial small subunit ribosomal RNA". Lineage: Eukaryota; Viridiplantae; Streptophyta; Magnoliopsida; Poales; Poaceae. The record is from RNAcentral.
AUGGCGAUCAGCUAUUACUCGGCACAUGCAAAACUGGCAUGGAUCUUUGCGCUGCUGCUCAUCCUGGUUACGACGACGAUUCAAGUCCACUGCCAGUCUCCUCCUGGGUUUAUAAGCGUUGACUGUGGAUUCACAAACACUAGCGCCUACAAUGACAGCAUCACAGGAAUACAGUUCGAUCCUGACAGUGGAUUUGUUGAAGGUGGUUUAAACAAUAAAAUUUCAGCAGAGUUUAUGGUUGGUUCAGAUGAGCAACAGAAAACCCUGAGGAGCUUCCCCGAUGGCUCCCGGAAUUGCUAUACGCUGCCAUCCACCGCCGGCACCAAGUAUCUGCUGAGGGCCACAUUUACUUACGGCAACUACGAUGGGUUGAACAAAAGUCGGGACGGCUCGCUGUUUCUGUUUGGGCUCCAUAUCGGCGUCAAUAUCUGGGAGGCGGUGAACAUGACAAAUUGGGAUCCAUCACUCACGAUAUGGAAGGAGGUAAUCACCGUUGCUCCAGCCAACUCGGUGUCAGUUUGUCUGAUAAACUUCAGUUCAGGGACUCCAUUUGUGUCUGCUCUGGAGUUGAGGCCACUUGACGAUUUGAUGUACCCUUUUGUGAAUUCUUCGGUGUCAAUCAGCUACUUUAAACGGAUCAGAUUUGGUGAAACCACUGAAUUUAUCACAAGAUAUAAAUUGGACCCGUACGACCGGUUCUGGGAGGCCUGGUUGUUGACCACGUACCCUUGGAUCAGCUUAAACACUAGCGAUCGAGUGAGGAGGCUACCCGGGGACAACACCUUCCAGGUACCAGAGGGCAUCCUCCAGCAGGCCUCUACCCUAGACACGAACUUCUCCUUCCUCGAGAUCAACGUGACAGUGGGUCCCAACCUGGACGCCAAGAACCUGGAGCUUCUUCCCAUCUUCCAUUUUGCUGAGAUCAACAGCAGCAACCCGAGCAGGAGAUUUGAUAUCUACAGCGACAACGAAUUGCUAUUCCCAGACUUCUCGCCGUCCCGCUUCCAGGUGGACAGCAUGCACCAGAACGGGCGGUUCUUGCACAACCCUGCUGCGAUCUUCCGCCUGAACAGGACACGUAGAUCGAGGCUCCCACCGCUCAUCAAUGCGUUUGAGGUGUACUCACUCGUUCGGAUGGAUAACCUCACCACUGACUCCAACGAUGUCAAUUACAUGAAAGAAGUCAAGAAACACUACAAUUUGGCACGAAUAAACUGGAACGGAGAUCCAUGCUCCCCAAGAGAGUAUUCCUGGGAAGGUUUAACUUGCGACUACUCUAAGAGCAACCAGAAUCCGAGGAUUGUCGCAGUAAAUCUGUCUACCAGCGGACUGAAAGGUGGAUUGGUCAUAUCAUUCAUGAACAUGGUAUCACUGGAAAACUUGGAUUUAUCACACAACAAUUUGACAGGAGCUAUUCCAGACUACCAAAUAAAGUCACUCAAAGUUCUCGAUUUGUCAUAUAACCAGCUUGAUGGGCCAAUCCCGGAUUCUAUUCUUCAAAGAUCUCACGCUGGUCUGCUUGACUUAAGGUUUGCAUGA